UACGAAGGGUGCAAGCGUUACUCGGAAUUACUGGGCGUAAAGCGUGCGUAGGUGGUUCGUUAAGUCUGAUGUGAAAGCCCUGGGCUCAACCUGGGAAUGGCGGUGGAUACUGACAAGCUAGAGUGCGGUAGAGGAGGGUGGAAUUCCCGGUGUAGCGGUGAAAUGCGUAGAGAUCGGGAGGAACAUCAGUGGCGAAGGCGGCCCUCUGGACCAGCACUGACGCUGAGGCACGAAAGCGUGGGGAGCAAACAGG
This 253-nucleotide ribosomal RNA is filed under the name uncultured bacterium. RNAcentral describes it as "partial 16S ribosomal RNA". It matches the Rfam family "Bacterial small subunit ribosomal RNA", at positions 524 to 776 of the family's 1533-position model. The record is from RNAcentral.